RNAcentral lists this ribosomal RNA (429 nucleotides) under Bacteroidota bacterium. RNAcentral's name for it is "Bacteroidetes bacterium partial 16S ribosomal RNA". It matches the Rfam family "Bacterial small subunit ribosomal RNA", at positions 355 to 776 of the family's 1533-position model. Lineage: Bacteria; Pseudomonadati; Bacteroidota. The record is from RNAcentral.
UAGGGAAUCUUCCGCAAUGGACGCAAGUCUGACGGAGCAACGCCGCGUGAGUGAAGAAGGAUUUCGGUUCGUAAAACUCUGUUGUUAGAGAAGAACAGCGCAUAGAGUAACUGUUAUGCGUGUGACGGUAUCUAACCAGAAAGCCACGGCUAACUACGUGCCAGCAGCCGCGGUAAUACGUAGGUGGCAAGCGUUGUCCGGAUUUAUUGGGCGUAAAGCGAGCGCAGGCGGUCAAUUAAGUCUGAUGUGAAAGCCCCCGGCUCAACCGGGGAGGGUCAUUGGAAACUGGUUGACUUGAGUGCAGAAGAGGAGAGUGGAAUUCCAUGUGUAGCGGCGAAAUGCGUAGAUAUAUGGAGGAACACCAGUGGCGAAGGCGACUCUCUGGUCUGUAACUGACGCUGAGGCUCGAAAGCGUGGGUAGCAAACAGG